RNAcentral lists this ribosomal RNA (253 nucleotides) under uncultured bacterium. RNAcentral describes it as "partial 16S ribosomal RNA". It matches the Rfam family "Bacterial small subunit ribosomal RNA", at positions 524 to 776 of the family's 1533-position model. The record is from RNAcentral.
UACAGAGACUGCAAGCGUUAUUCGGAUUCACUGGGCGUAAAGGGUGCGCAGGCGGCCAAGUGUGUGAGGCGUGAAAGCCCGGGGCUUAACCCCGGAAUUGCACCUCAAACUACAUGGCUAGAGCAUUGGAGAGGGUAGCAGAAUUCAUGGUGUAGCAGUGAAAUGCGUAGAUAUCAUGAGGAACACCAGUGGCGAAGGCGAGUCCCUGGACAAUUCCUGACACUGAGGCACGAAAGCCAAGGGAGCAAACAGG